GAGGGUAUAGUUUAAGUGGCAGAGCACAUGCCUAGCAUGCCUGAGGUCCUGGGUUCAAUUCCCAGUACCUCUA
Molecule: transfer RNA, 73 nt
Filed under: Camelus bactrianus (Bactrian camel)
Lineage: Eukaryota; Metazoa; Chordata; Mammalia; Artiodactyla; Camelidae
Also listed under: 2 other names
Rfam family: tRNA
About the family: Transfer RNA (tRNA) molecules are approximately 80 nucleotides in length. Their secondary structure includes four short double-helical elements and three loops (D, anti-codon, and T loops).
Source: Rfam by way of RNAcentral